UACGGGGGGGGCAAGCGUUGUUCGGAAUUACUGGGCGUAAAGGGCUCGUAGGCGGCCAACUAAGUCAGACGUGAAAUCCCUCGGCUUAACCGGGGAACUGCGUCUGAUACUGGAUGGCUUGAAUCCGGGAGAGGGAUGCGGAAUUCCAGGUGUAGCGGUGAAAUGCGUAGAUAUCUGGAGGAACACCGGUGGCGAAGGCGGCAUCCUGGACCGGCAUUGACGCUAAAGCGCGAAAGCCAGGGGAGCAAACGGG
Molecule: ribosomal RNA, 253 nt
Filed under: uncultured bacterium
Lineage: Bacteria
Description: partial 16S ribosomal RNA
Rfam family: Bacterial small subunit ribosomal RNA
Source: RNAcentral